GGAAAUUACAGGUAAGCUCUGGGAGUGGACCUUUUAGCUACUGGGUACCGA
Molecule: ribosomal RNA, 51 nt
Filed under: uncultured organism
Description: partial small subunit ribosomal RNA
Source: RNAcentral